UUAUCUUUGAUUCUUCGGAUGAAGAGGUUUGUGACUGAGUGGCGGACGGGUGAGUAACGCGUGGGUAACCUGCCUCAUACAGGGGGAUAACAGUUAGAAAUGACUGCUAAUACCGCAUAAGACCACAGAGCCGCAUGGCUCAGUGGGAAAAACUCCGGUGGUAUGAGAUGGACCCGCGUCUGAUUAGGUAGUUGGUGGGGUAACGGCCUACCAAGCCAACGAUCAGUAGCCGACCUGAGAGGGUGACCGGCCACAUUGGGACUGAGACACGGCCCAAACUCCUACGGGAGGCAGCAGUGGGGAAUAUUGCACAAUGGGGGAAACCCUGAUGCAGCGACGCCGCGUGAGCGAAGAAGUAUUUCGGUAUGUAAAGCUCUAUCAGCAGGGAAGAAAAUGACGGUACCUGACUAAGAAGCACCGGCUAAAUACGUGCCAGCAGCCGCGGUAAUACGUAUGGUGCAAGCGUUAUCCGGAUUUACUGGGUGUAAAGGGAGCGUAGACGGCUGUGUAAGUCUGAAGUGAAAGCCCGGGGCUCAACCCCGGGACUGCUUUGGAAACUAUGCAGCUAGAGUGUCGGAGAGGUAAGUGGAAUUCCCAGUGUAGCGGUGAAAUGCGUAGAUAUUGGGAGGAACGCCAGUGGCGAAGGCGGCUUACUGGACGAUGACUGACGUUGAGGCUCGAAAGCGUGGGGAGCAAACAGGAUUAGAUACCCUGGUAGUCCACGCUGUAAACGAUGACUACUAGGUGUCGGG
RNAcentral lists this ribosomal RNA (752 nucleotides) under uncultured bacterium. RNAcentral describes it as "bacterial SSU rRNA". It matches the Rfam family "Bacterial small subunit ribosomal RNA", at positions 63 to 827 of the family's 1533-position model. The record is from RNAcentral.